CACUUAAAUGGUUCUUUGUCAGAGUGUUUGGUUCGAUGAAGGACCUUAACAUCUUUGAAAUGUUCUUUAUAGUUGGAAAAUGAAUUUAGUAAUAUACUGAAUACUAUAAAAUAUAAAUGAAUACUAAUUUACUGAAAGUUUCUUUGGGGAAAAUGGUUCUUCUAUGGCAUCACUAUGAAAUCCCUCUUUUGUUUCUUUAUAUUUAAGAGUAGCAAAAGUUUAAGUCACAUGUUAGACCUUAAUUUAAAAGGAUAUUUUUUUAUCGAAAGUUUGCAUAAACAUCUAAAAUGUGAGAUUACUGAAACUUAUUUUUAAGGUUGCUAAAAGUUUCUUGCUUUUUUUAAAAAGCGGCAGCGGCAGAUGGCGCUCUAUGAUCUUACAUUGUGUGUGUGUGUGUGUGUGUGUGUGUGUGUGUGUGUGUGUGUGUGUGUGUGUGUGUGUGUGUGUGUGUGUGUGUGUGUGUGUGAGAGAGAGAGAGAGAGAGAGAGAGAGAGAGAGAGAGAGAGAGAGAGAGAUUUGUGGGGUUUGUGUGUGAUGCGCGGAUGAAAGCCUCCGCCGCUGCGCUCUGUAGCUCUGCCUCUGUCGCGGUGGAUCCACACUGCGCUCGCAUCCCCUCCGUCCCACCGCGGACAUCCGGCCAACUGAUCCGUCUCCCUCCCUCAACAAUGAGAGCAGGAUCCUUCCUCUGGUGAAUUCAGGGACUCGGAGAGGAGGAGAGGAGAGAAUAGGAGCGGAUGAGAGGAGAGGAGAGAAGAGGAUAGUGCCGUUUCCUUUACUCCACGUCUGGUUGAGUCAUGCCAGUUCCAGAUCAACCUGCUGAAUCUGAGAACGCCUCUACUGGAGACCGAACCGAAUCCGAGGCCGCUUCAGCCAUCCUGGCGUCAGUUAAAGAGCAGGAGCUGCAGUUUGAGAGACUGACUCGAGAGCUGGAGGCUGAGCGCCAAAUUGUCGCUACCCAACUGGAGCGAUGCAAACGAGGAUCUGAGGCUGGCAGCACCAUGAGCAACAUAAGGU
This is a long non-coding RNA of Tachysurus fulvidraco (yellow catfish), 1014 nucleotides long. RefSeq lists it as uncharacterized. The record is from RefSeq and is a predicted model, not a curated record. NCBI's taxonomy places the organism in Eukaryota, Metazoa, Chordata, Actinopteri, Siluriformes, Bagridae. The transcript is spliced from 3 exons.